Molecule: long non-coding RNA, 861 nt
Organism: Mobula hypostoma (lesser devil ray)
Lineage: Eukaryota; Metazoa; Chordata; Chondrichthyes; Myliobatiformes; Myliobatidae
Exons: 4
Source: RefSeq, a predicted model, not a curated record
CUCCGGAGGAGCUCAGCAGGUCAGAGAGCGUCUAUGGAGAGGAAUAAACAGUUGAUGUUUCCGGUCCCAACCCUUUAUCAGGACUGGAAAGGAAGGAGGAAGAGGCCAGAAUAAGAAGAGCUGCCUUCCUUUGGAAGAAAGGUCAAAUACAAGAUGCAACACACCAGCCACUUAGCACUGACAGUAGGAAUGACAAAGGAAUUUCUAUAAGUGAAAAUCAUCCAGAAACAAAAAAAAAACUAAACUCUACAGCAACUUGCUUUAACUGGUGUACUUUUCCAACGUCACUUCUACUGCUGAGAUCCCAAGAUGCCCAAAUGCAAAUUCUCCAAUCAAGGCAAAUCUAGUGCUUCCAGUUUGGACAAGACUGAUGCUAAGAAGGAUAGAACGAGCUCUAACCAAAGAAAGAUACAGUUCAAGUGUGUGAGCCAUUGCUACUGAAGUAUGUGAUACUGCCACUCGUCGACACACCACUUCCAAUUUACAUGCUCAAUAACCCACCUCUUUAGGAUGUGGCCAGAACUUGGACCCCCAGAGGAAACCCGUGCAGUCACAGGGAGAGCAUGCGAACUCCACACGAACAGCUAUUUCACUGUCCUGCUGCCACAAAACAACAAAUUUCAUGACAUAUAUCAGUAAUAAGAAGACCAUAAGACAUAGGAGCAGAACUAGGCCAUCUGGCCCAUUGAAUCUUCUCCACCAUUCCAUCACGGCUGAUUCAUUAUGCCUCUCAACCCCAAUCUCCUGGUAAUAAGCUUGAUUCUGAUUUUGAAGCAGCUGGUGUCCUGGCUCAAUGUCGCCAGUUUAAAUGUGACUCAAGCUUAACAAAAUUAGCACAUUUCUGAAUAAUAAAUGAGGUAU